RNAcentral lists this ribosomal RNA (450 nucleotides) under Triticum aestivum (bread wheat). RNAcentral describes it as "partial small subunit ribosomal RNA". Lineage: Eukaryota; Viridiplantae; Streptophyta; Magnoliopsida; Poales; Poaceae. The record is from RNAcentral.
AUGAUCGAAUGUCGAUGCAAAAUUUGCUUGAAAAAUCUAACUCCAAUCGUGAUGUCUACGAAUGUAUGGGAGAAACAUACUGGUUGCCGCCAAAAGAAUUGGAAGAAGAGUAUUAAGCUCAAGGGCACUGAGAAGCCUCUCUUUAAAUUCCUUGAAGAGAUUCCUGAAGGAACUGGCAUAUCUUCUAUUGCAAGUGAAAUUCAGCAGGUUUCUUCUGUUGAUACAUCUGACCAGCCAGCUGCUGAAACAUCCUACCAGCAAGCUGCUGAAACAUCUGAGCUAGCUGCUGUUACAUCUGAUCAGCCGUCUGCAAGCCUCUCUUAUGCGAUGUCGGGAAACAAGCAGUCGCAAAAAUCAAAAGUCUGCAUCUUACAUGAUUAUGAUAGGAUGAAGUCCCAUCAGGAUAAGGACACUGAUCAUAAAUAUGAAAAGGCAUCUAGGAUUUCUUAA